Molecule: non-coding RNA, 1800 nt
Organism: Lactuca sativa (garden lettuce)
Lineage: Eukaryota; Viridiplantae; Streptophyta; Magnoliopsida; Asterales; Asteraceae
Source: RefSeq, a predicted model, not a curated record
CCAAUCCCUUAAUCCCCUGAUCGAGUCUGUUUGACUACCGAGAUCUCGCCAAAUAUCCGUACAUCCAACCUUUCCGUUUUCUUCAUUCUUGGAUCUCAAUUUCAAAAUCGAAAACCCUCUAUCUCUCCAAAUUCUCAUCUUCAAUCUAAUAAACCCUAGCCUCAACACACCACCUCUGAUCUUCCUCUCCCUAAUUUCACACACACAAUCUCCAUGGGUCGCCACAAUCCACCACCUCCUUCAACGUCUCCACAAUCCACAAUCACUGUCACGACCUUCAUCUCUUCCAAUUGCUACUCUCCAAAAACCCUCACAACCGCUAGCCACCACGACCAUCAAAACCAUUCACCACCACUAUCCCUUGUCAACCUUUACCCUGUUUCUCUCUUCUUUGGAUUCUUAGGUAUGUGAGGUAGUGUUGGUGUUUCCGCCAUAACCAUCACCACCAUCCACCGUCAACCCAACCCCAUUGGUGGAUCUAGAAUCACCCUCCUUCUCUUCUCUCUCAUUCGAUCGCAGAGAAGAUAAAUCAAGAGAGAUGGAGUUGGAGAAAGCAUUUGUCGCCACCAUCGCCAAUCUGUUGUGAGUUGCUAUUUCCUCCAUUUUAUCCCCUUUUCAUUAUUUCCUGAAUCAUGUUCGUCUCCAACAGAUGCAGGUUAAACCCCCAUUUUCCCUUUCCUUUUCAUAUGCAAUCAAUUUAAAUAUGAAAUGUAUUCUUAGUUGUUAUGUAAAAGAAGUAUUGAUGAUUUUUAUUAUUACCUUUAUAUUUUCACUUUUUAUUAAAUAACAGGAAACUUGAAGCAUCUUAUAACAGAUUUGGGUGUAUUUGUGAGAUUACAAGAUAGAAACAAACUUUAGUUGGGAUCGACUAUUCAAAUGCAAAUAUUCAGGUUGUUGCAAUGAAAGCCUUGAAUAUAAUUUAGGAGGUACAUUAUUAUUAUUUUUUGUUAUUUAAGAUUCUUGUUAUACACAAGAAAAAAAGGUAUGUACACAAAUGAUGGAAUCAGGUCUAUUUUUUUUUUUUUGAGUUGUAGAUGGGUUAUUGGUUAGGAUAAAAGAAUAUGUAAAACCGUUAAAUGGAACCCUUGACAUAUUUAUGAAUAUAUUUGGGUUUCUUAACCAUUUAUAUGAACUAAAUCUUAUUAGGAUUAGUUCAAAAUUUGUUGAUUCAAUAUUUCUAGGGUCUUGAUAUUUAUCAAGAUUUAAUUAAAAUUCAACAAAGCUAAUGUGUAACAUCUACAAGCCAUUCUUUUGUACCGUUAGUAAUGGCGACGUAUCAAGCUUUAGGAAUGAAACAAAUGCAGUUUGAACAUGCUCUUUGAAACCAAUAGUCAUUAAUUCUACCUUACCAUUGCAGUGAUUGAUUUUAAAUAAGAAUUUGAUGGCAUGGAGACUACAAUAUAAAAUAAAAAUGGAAGUCAAUUCUUUAGAAGCACAGUCAAGGUAUGAAAGCGGGCAUCAUUCUAUAACAUAUAUAAACCUGUAACAUUUAUUUCUUUCUUCUAUAGACACCAUGGUUGACACUAAGGCUUGUGGUGUUUGGGCAAGUUCUGGAGUUGAUUGAGUCAUGCAAGAUAGAGAGAUAAUCCCCUUCUAAAGAUGAAAACAUAACACUUAAAUGUGAAGUCAAUGUGUUGUAAAGUAUGUGAGUGUAUGUUUGGAUAUGUAUGUGUGUGAAUAUCAUAAUCAAUUGGGUGUGAUAUUGUGCAAAAAUGGAUUGGACUGGAAUGAGUGAUUGUAUAUUGUGAGAAAAAAAAACAAGGUUUAAGAUUUUAAAAUUUAGGUGACAAGUUUUUUUUU